Molecule: unclassified non-coding RNA, 256 nt
Filed under: Hevea brasiliensis (rubber tree)
Lineage: Eukaryota; Viridiplantae; Streptophyta; Magnoliopsida; Malpighiales; Euphorbiaceae
Source: RNAcentral
GUGAGUUAGGUAAAGCUGUUCCUCUGUCCUAAAAAAAAAUCGAUUCUUUAACCCAAAUUACCAAAUUCAGAUCGAUUUUCUCAGCUCAGAAACUUCGAAAAUCCAUUUCUAUAGACACCCUUUUCCUUUUUACUGAAUCUUGGCCAUGUCUUGUUCAAUAUUUUUGCUCAUUUUUGCUCUAUUAGUGUCAAUCUUGGAACAAUCGGUUUCGGUUUCGGUUUCGAACGGAUCGCAGCGGGUGAUUCUUCGGGCGAUU